CGGGAGGCCUAACACAUGCAAGCCGAGCGGUAGAUUGCUUUCGGGCAAUUGAGAGCGGCGUACGGGUGCGGAACACGUGUGCAACCUGCCUUUAUCAGGGGGAUAGCCUUUCGAAAGGGAGAUUAAUACCCCAUAAUAUAUUGAUUCGCAUGGAUUGAUAUUGAAAACUCCGGUGGAUAGAGAUGGGCACGCGCAAGAUUAGAUAGUUGGUGAGGUAACGGCUCACCAAGUCAGUGAUCUUUAGGGGGCCUGAGAGGGUGAUCCCCCACACUGGUACUGAGACACGGACCAGACUCMUACGGGAGGCAGCAGUGAGGAAUAUUGGACAAUGGGUGAGAGCCUGAUCCAGCCAUCCCGCGUGAAGGACGACUGCCCUAUGGGUUGUAAACUUCUUUUGUACAGGGAUAAACCCUAGAUACGUGUAUCUAGCUGAAGGUACUGUACGAAUAAGCACC
Molecule: ribosomal RNA, 455 nt
Filed under: Bacteroidetes bacterium BAL81
Lineage: Bacteria; Pseudomonadati; Bacteroidota
Description: bacterial SSU rRNA
Rfam family: Bacterial small subunit ribosomal RNA
Source: RNAcentral